RNAcentral lists this ribosomal RNA (344 nucleotides) under uncultured Verrucomicrobiota bacterium. RNAcentral's name for it is "bacterial SSU rRNA". It matches the Rfam family "Bacterial small subunit ribosomal RNA", at positions 29 to 351 of the family's 1533-position model. Lineage: Bacteria; Pseudomonadati; Verrucomicrobiota. The record is from RNAcentral.
AACGAACGCUGGCGGCGUGGAUAAGACAUGCAAGUGGAACGCCAACCAGUGAGUAGCAAUAUUCGCUGGAAGGAGUCGCGUAAGGGUGCGUAACACGUGGGCAAUCUGCCCUGAAGCUCGGGACAACCUGCCGAAAGGCAAGCUAAUACCGAAUGUGAUCUUUUGCAGGCAUCUGUGAAAGCUCAAAGCUGGGGAUCGCAAGACCUGGCGCUUUAGGAUGAGCCCGCGGCCUAUCAGCUAGUUGGUGAGGUAACGGCCCACCAAGGCUAAGACGGGUAGCCGGUCUGAGAGGACGAUCGGCCACACUGGAACUGAGACACGGUCCAGACACCUACGGGUGGCAG